ACAUAGAGAUCAUCAGUACUGCUGCUGCUGCUGCUGCUGCUGCUGCUGCUGCUGCUGCUGCUGCUGCUGCUGCUGCUGCUGCUGCUGCUGCUGCUGCUGCUGCUGCUGCUGCUGCUGCUGCUGCUGCUGCUGCUGCUGCUGCUGCUGCUGCUGCUGCUGCUGCUGCUGCUGCUGCUGCUGCUGCUGCUGCUGCUGCUGCUGCUGCUGCUGCUGCUGCUGCUGCUGCUGCUGCUAUUACUUAAGUCUUU
This 248-nucleotide small RNA is filed under the name Brugia malayi. Its description in RNAcentral is "RNA transcript Bm15701". Lineage: Eukaryota; Metazoa; Nematoda; Chromadorea; Rhabditida; Onchocercidae. The record is from RNAcentral.